UACGUAGGCAGCAAGCGUUGUUCGGAAUUACUGGGCGUAAAGAGUGUGUAGGUGGUGCUCCAAGUCUGUUGUGAAAUCUCCCGGCUUAACUGGGAGGGUGCGGCGGAAACUGGAGUGCUUGAGGGUGGGAGAGGUAAGCGGAAUUCCUGGUGUAGCGGUGAAAUGCGUAGAUAUCAGGAGGAACACCUGUGGUGUAGACAGCUUACUGGACCACUUCUGACACUGAGACACGAAAGCGUGGGUAGCAAACAGG
RNAcentral lists this ribosomal RNA (253 nucleotides) under uncultured bacterium. RNAcentral's name for it is "partial 16S ribosomal RNA". It matches the Rfam family "Bacterial small subunit ribosomal RNA", at positions 524 to 776 of the family's 1533-position model. The record is from RNAcentral.